GACACUCUGGAGAAUCCCGGCUGCCGCCGGGUGCCGAAGGUGCAAAGCCGGGCUGACCGGCCAAUCUCUCAGGCGAAAGGACAGAGACGG
Molecule: non-coding RNA, 90 nt
Filed under: bovine gut metagenome
Description: Glycine riboswitch
Rfam family: Glycine riboswitch aptamer
About the family: This family represents the bacterial glycine riboswitch. Glycine riboswitches usually consist of two metabolite-binding aptamers domains with similar structures in tandem.
Source: RNAcentral